AAAUGAAGUUUUAUACGGUAAUCUGUCAGGUUGACGAGGUAAAUUAUGAUUCCGUCAGGUUGACGAGGUAAUUAAUGGUAUUUUAUGGUAUUCCGUCAGGUUGACGAGGUUUA
Cotesia glomerata is the source of this 113-nucleotide long non-coding RNA. RefSeq lists it as uncharacterized. The transcript is spliced from 2 exons. The record is from RefSeq and is a predicted model, not a curated record. NCBI's taxonomy places the organism in Eukaryota, Metazoa, Arthropoda, Insecta, Hymenoptera, Braconidae.